Molecule: transfer RNA, 63 nt
Filed under: Derotettix mendosensis
Lineage: Eukaryota; Metazoa; Arthropoda; Insecta; Hemiptera; Cicadidae
Description: tRNA-Arg
Source: RNAcentral
AGAUGGAGAAGUAAUAUUACAAUUAGUUUCGACCUAAUCUAAGAAUUUUUUUUUCCCCAUCUA